UGAAUCAGCUCCAGGUACGUAUAU
This 24-nucleotide non-coding RNA is filed under the name Arabidopsis thaliana (thale cress). Lineage: Eukaryota; Viridiplantae; Streptophyta; Magnoliopsida; Brassicales; Brassicaceae. The record is from RNAcentral.